UGCUACAGGCUUAACACAUGCAAGUCGAGGGGCAGCAUGGUCUUAGCUUGCUAAGGCCGAUGGCGACCGGCGCACGGGUGAGUAACACGUAUCCAACCUGCCGUCUACUCUUGGACAGCCUUCUGAAAGGAAGAUUAAUACAAGAUGGCAUCAUGAGUCCGCAUGUUCACAUGAUUAAAGGUAUUCCGGUAGACGAUGGGGAUGCGUUCCAUUAGAUAGUAGGCGGGGUAACGGCCCACCUAGUCUUCGAUGGAUAGGGGUUCUGAGAGGAAGGUCCCCCACAUUGGAACUGAGACACGGUCCAAACUCCUACGGGAGGCAGCAGUGAGGAAUAUUGGUCAAUGGGCGAGAGCCUGAACCAGCCAAGUAGCGUGAAGGAUGACUGCCCUAUGGGUUGUAAACUUCUUUUAUAAAGGAAUAAAGUCGGGUAUGGAUACCCGUUUGCAUGUACUUUAUGAAUAAGGAUCGGCUAACUCCGUGCCAGCAGCCGCGGUAAUACGGAGGAUCCGAGCGUUAUCCGGAUUUAUUGGGUUUAAAGGGAGCGUAGAUGGAUGUUUAAGUCAGUUGUGAAAGUUUGCGGCUCAACCGUAAAAUUGCAGUUGAUACUGGAUAUCUUGAGUGCAGUUGAGGCAGGCGGAAUUCGUGGUGUAGCGGUGAAAUGCUUAGAUAUCACGAAGAACUCCGAUUGCGAAGGCAGCCUGCUAAGCUGCAACUGACAUUGAGGCUCGAAAGUGUGGGUAUCAAACAGGAUUAGAUACCCUGGUAGUCCACACGGUAAACGAUGAAUACUCGCUGUUUGCGAUAUACUGCAAGCGGCCAAGCGAGAGCGUUAAGUAUUCCACCUGGGGAGUACGCCGGCAACGGUGAAACUCAAAGGAAUUGACGGGGGCCCGCACAAGCGGAGGAACAUGUGGUUUAAUUCGAUGAUACGCGAGGAACCUUACCCGGGCUUAAAUUGCAGAUGAAUUACGGUGAAAGCCGUAAGCCGCAAGGCAUCUGUGAAGGUGCUGCAUGGUUGUCGUCAGUUCGUGCCGUGAGGUGUCGGCUUAAGUGCCAUAACGAGCGCAACCCUUGUUGUCAGUUACUAACAGGUUCCGCUGAGGACUCUGACAAGACUGCCAUCGUAAGAUGUGAGGAAGGUGGGGAUGACGUCAAAUCCGCACGGCCCUUACGUCCGGGGCUACACACGUGUUACAAUGGGGGGUACAGAGGGCCGCUACCACGCGAGUGGAUGCCAAUCCCCAAAACCUCUCUCAGUUCGGACUGGAGUCUGCAACCCGACUCCACGAAGCUGGAUUCGCUAGUAAUCGCGCAUCAGCCACGGCGCGGUGAAUACGUUCCCGGGCCUUGUACACACCGCCCGUCAAGCCAUGGGAGCCGGGGGUACCUGAAGUGCGUAACCGCGAGGAGCGCCCUAGGGUAAAACUGGUGACUG
Molecule: ribosomal RNA, 1435 nt
Filed under: uncultured organism
Description: SSU rRNA
Rfam family: Bacterial small subunit ribosomal RNA
Source: RNAcentral